Homo sapiens (human) is the source of this 4088-nucleotide long non-coding RNA. Ensembl annotates it as PCBP1 antisense RNA 1. Its record names the gene PCBP1-AS1. The record is from Ensembl. NCBI's taxonomy places the organism in Eukaryota, Metazoa, Chordata, Mammalia, Primates, Hominidae.
GGGGCGGCCGCCAUGUUUCCUGAACACAAAAUGGCGACACGUGGUUAGCAUUCGUCGCCAACGAGAAAUUGGGGUCGGCCCGAAAGCUCUAGAAUGCACCCCUCUUCCUCCCCGGGGCCUUCCACCUCCGCGAGUUUUAUGACUUAAAAAAGCCCACAGGCUGGUCUGAAGAGGAAGACAAACAUAAAGAUGAAGUGCUUAAUUCAAGGUCACACAAUGUCGGGGAUGGACCUCCAGAUUUCCUUACUGGUGAGACGUGGUCUUGUAACACAGUGGUUAAGAAUGUGACUUUGGAGCCAGCCUGCUAGGGGCUGAAUUCUGACUCAGCCAUUUACUAACUGUGUGACCUUAGGUCACAGAAUUUUCCACACUCCUUGACAGAGGUGCUUAACCCUUAUCCAUCAGCAUUCUCAGACAGCACCUCCGGUUAGGGACAGUAUCUGACCGUCCGACAUCCCUGCAGCCCCCAUGUGUCACACAGACUCAGCCUCAGGUAGAUGGUUUCCGUAGAUGGUGGCUUUCUUUGGACCCUUGACAUCAACCAGUUACUAUUUGACUCUUCUGCAGAACCCCAUGUUGACCCCUGCUUUGAGGUGGCAGAGUUAACACUACUCUUCGUUAUAAGCUCUCGUCUGGGGCAACUCAGAAGAACCUCCUGCAACCACCGCUGUACUUUCUGUCUCUAUGAACUUGACUACUCUAGACACCUCAUGGGACCAGAUGUGCAGAGGUAAUGAAUACCAGGGAAUCAGGAAACCACUGGAUCAGUUCUUUGAGCCACAGAACAACACUCAUCCCAGCAGCUGGGAAGCUAUCUGCAAAAGUCCAUCUGCAGAAAGGGCUUCCUGGUCUUGCGUGUGGCUGGGCCAUUUCUCUGGAUGCAGGUUUUUCAUUAUACAGUCUUCUCAAAGAACCACCUGCUCUCAACACCUUCUCGGUGACUCCAUUUCCCCUCCUCUGGGCUCCUGGAAUGCCACAAUGGCCCCACCUUAGCCAGGCAGCUGUGAUGAGAGGUGUUGACCCAACUGCCUCUCUGCUGGCUCACUGAAUCAGGUGGAAGGGGCUGGGGACAGCACAGUCUUGCAUUGUGGUUGGGGACCUGGGCCAUCCAGAGGCAGGACUGUCCAAAGGCAGGGUACUGCUGGGAUUCCGCCAGGCACUGGGUGAUGCAUGGCAUAGGGAGCUGAAGAGGGACAGGCUCUUGGCCAGGAAAAACAGCCCCAGAGCCACAGGUGUGCCAUCGAGUCUUCCUCCUCUCCCAUCCUUAAUCACUCCUGUUUGGUGACAGCACACAGCUAGGCCUGGAGCCCAGCAAAGAGCCCCUGGGUCCCAGAGGAAGUUGUUCUGGGGGCUGGAGACAAUCACAAAUGCCAGGUUUGUGAGCCCCAGACUCUGGUUCAUAGCAAGAGGCAGACUUGUGAACAAACCACCAGAUCACACCGUAAAACACGCUCAACGAGGAGUGGGUGCCCUUUCUAGGGACAGGCAGAAGGCUCCAUGGAGUGACCUUUGAAUGGGGACAUAAAAGUGGAUCCCUUCAACAGCCCCUGCACAGCCCCAAGUCAGGCCUCCAGCCCUUGGACUCACAGAUGUCCUCUGUAGACGACUGGAUGUCCUCCCGUGCUACCCUUUACCCCUGCAGCGAGGGGCACAGAGCCAGAGCCCUCCAGGUCCUCACCACUGGCAUCACCAACAUAGUGGACAUUUUCCCUCUCAGAAUGAAAAGGGAGUGAAAUUUCCCGUGAUCUUUCCACAAAUGACCAGCUUGGGGAGUGGGAGAGGAAGUGCUGCAGUGCCUGGGGAAGGGGCCCUGGAACAGUUCCUGGAAAUGGAGAGGGGUGGAUAGGGUGGAGACAAUGCUCAUGGAGUGCAGUAUGGGGCCUACCCAGAGUUGCUUGGCCACCCCUCUGCCUCUGAAUCAGGGGUGAUCAAUGAAGGAAAAUUACUGCAGCAGUUGAGUCCAUGUAAGAUGAUUGUGCACGUGUGUGUGUGUGUGUGUGUGUGUGUGUGUGUCCUCACUCACUUAAAAAAGACCAUUUCUGUGCAUUCUUUAUGCUGGAACCCUCCUCUGCCUCCCUCUCCAGGAAAUCCCAUAGGAUCCCAUACCUGCUUUAGAAUGUGUGUGAGACACUUCCCAGUGCCUGGCAUGUGGUAGGAGCUCAGUACAUGUAAACUGUUUUCCUUUGACCACUCAAAGUAGUCACUUGUUGGGGAGGCCAAUGGCGGCUUCCCCGGUCUCUGAGCUGAUGGGCGUCUGGUCCCUGCCUCCCCUUCCUUCACUGGCUGAUGACAAAUACCUGAAUGUCAUCACAUCCUCCGUGUCCUCAUCUGUUAUUCUGGAACACAGGCCAGGGAGGGUACAGGGUAGUCCCCCUUCAACAGAGGCUGGCCUUUCUUGGGAUGUGGGCUGGCUGGUGUUGGUCCAAGGAUGGAUGCAGAGGGUGAGGCACCCAUCCUGCUAGUCCGGCCGGAUGCUGGCAGGAGGGCGGGGUGAGGAGGGGCGGAGCUUCCAGAACAAAGGAGAAUGGGGAGCCCAGGGGCCAGCCUAGGCAUCAAAAAGGCUCUGCAGAGUGAACAGGCCACAGCACUGCCUGCCUCUGCCCCAGCAGUCAGCCAGCCGACCGCGCCUGCUCCCUCCUGCUUGCCCAAGGCCGGGCAAGUCAUCCCCACUCUGCUUCGAGAGGCCCCGUUUUCCAGCGUGAUUGCGCCGACACUGCUCUGUGGGUUUCUCUUCUUGGCGUGGGUUGCUGCUGAGGUUCCAGAGGAGAGCAGCAGGAUGGCCGGGAGCGGAGCCAGGAGUGAGGAAGGCCGCCGGCAGCAUGCCUUCGUCCCGGAACCUUUUGAUGGGGCCAAUGUCGUCCCAAACCUCUGGCUGCACAGCUUUGAAGUCAUCAAUGACCUCAACCAUUGGGACCAUAUCACCAAGCUAAGGUUCCUGAAAGAGUCCCUCAGAGGAGAGGCCCUGGGUGUCUACAAUAGGCUCAGUCCCCAGGACCAGGGAGACUAUGGGACUGUGAAAGAGGCCCUCCUGAAGGCCUUUGGGGUCCCUGGGGCUGCCCCCAGCCACCUGCCCAAAGAGAUCGUCUUUGCCAACAGCAUGGGUAAGGGCUACUAUCUCAAGGGGAAGAUUGGCAAAGUGCCCGUGAGGUUCCUGGUGGACUCUGGGGCCCAGGUCUCUGUGGUCCACCCAAACUUGUGGGAGGAGGUCACUGAUGGCGAUCUGGACACCCUGCAGCCCUUUGAGAAUGUGGUAAAGGUGGCCAAUGGUGCUGAAAUGAAGAUCCUGGGUGUCUGGGAUACAGCGGUGUCCCUAGGCAAGCUGAAGCUGAAGGCACAGUUCCUAGUGGCCAAUGCGAGUGCCGAGGAAGCCAUCAUUGGCACUGAUGUGCUCCAGGACCACAAUGCUAUCCUGGACUUUGAGCACCGCACAUGCACCCUGAAAGGGAAGAAGUUUCGCCUUCUGCCUGUGGGAGGGUCCCUGGAAGAUGAGUUUGACCUGGAGCUCAUAGAGGAGGACCCCUCCUCAGAAGAAGGGCGGCAGGAGCUAUCCCACUGAGAAGCCACCUUUUCUUUAACCUCCUAAAUAUUGGUGGGAAGACCCACCGCUGUGGGGGGGGUUGCAUAUCCUCAUGGGGGUCACUGGGCUUGGCCAGUCUGCUUAUCAACUCUUGCUCUUCUCUCCCCUUUGCCUCCCUCUGCAGGGGCCUUAAUCUGCCCCUGGUAGGGGAGGCUUCCACUGAACAGGCACAGGUGAGGGAGAGCAGGCUGGCUUAGAGGGACAGGGUCCCCAUGGUCAUCAAGCUGCUGUUGAUGACAAAGACUCAAAGGCUGGAAGAGCUCCCAAGGAAGCUAGAAAUGCUUGUCUUUGAAAGAACUGUGGGACCCCUUCAGAUUCCCUGAGGUAUGGCUUGGUCACUCUCAGGUCCUCAAAGCCUGUCUUAGUUGGGCUGGGUCCUAGCUGCAGGGUCUUUGUGAGGGUCACAGUUGCUCUGGGACACCUCCCUGAAGAGCCUUUCCACCUGUACAAUCGUAUUUUCUUUCUGUCAUUUGCUUUGAAGCCCAUUGUGCCUUAUGCCAAUAAUUCAAUU